RNAcentral lists this long non-coding RNA (1076 nucleotides) under Solanum tuberosum (potato). RNAcentral describes it as "long non-coding RNA (STUB_LNC000541)". Lineage: Eukaryota; Viridiplantae; Streptophyta; Magnoliopsida; Solanales; Solanaceae. The record is from RNAcentral.
UCUGUAUUUUUUUGACUAUAGGAUUGACGGUGGUAUUGCUCCACUUGUUGAGUUUGUUGUUCCAAAGGUGCAGAGAGAAACUGCAGGAUCCUGCAGAUUAUCGAAUGCACUAGUGAUACUAGAGUCACAUUUUAUACUAGUGAUACAACUGUGAUAUGUUUUAGUAUUUUUUUAGACUCCAAGAAAUGUUGAUAAAAAAAAGAACACCUAUACAGUUAUAACAUGAUGAUAAUAAGUACUCACAUUUCAAAACAAAAAAAAAUAAGACAAAUAAUAAAUAUCUACCAAGGAAAUAGUUGAAGAAUAACAACAAACCUAUGACACCCUCUCAGUAUGGUUCAACAUUUAAAAAAUGUUUCCAUUUGUGUACUUAAAUAAAAAAAGUGAUAUAUAGAUAAUUACAAACUGAUAGGUUUAAUACAAGUUGUGUGAGAUCAAGGAGGAGAGGAAAGGACUUAAAUAGGUAGCUAUAACUGCAAAACAAUUAUGUUUGUUCCUAGCCAGAUGUCACCAUGCUUGAUGUUCCUACUUCACAAUCAUUAAUUAACAUAUAAGGUAUUAUGAUAAACCAAAUGACUAAGAUUAGAUAAACUAUUGAAUUCCCAUAUUUACCUCGGCAACUUCCAAGACAACAACUAAAAUAACAAAUAGAAUGCAGGGAAAAAUAUAGAACAAUUGAAACAAAAUUCAGGCAGAUUAAAAGAGCACCUGCAGAAGAUGUAGGGAUGCAUGCUUUGAUAUAGAACCAAAACGUAAACUUGACAUUACUUCAGAGUAUUGUUUGGCUUAAACCACAAAUGACGGUCUUUAUAUUCAAGAACUGUAGUACAACACACUCAGUAUAGGACAUUGCACGGAAAAAAGAAUAAGGAAAGAAGAACAGGGCUUUAAGAUUGAGACAAAAUGGCAACUCGUUAUGCUGUUGUUUUCCCCUUUUGUCUUAAAGGCCAUAUAAUAUUGUUACCUUUAAAAAGCAAAUUUUUCUUUGUUCACUAAUAGAUAUGAUAUUGAAGUUGGAAAAUCAAUUGUUAAAAUAAUUUGAUUUAUCUUAUUAUUCAAGUAUUCAACUGAAUUGA